Molecule: ribosomal RNA, 372 nt
Filed under: Nanorana phrynoides
Lineage: Eukaryota; Metazoa; Chordata; Amphibia; Anura; Dicroglossidae
Description: partial 12S ribosomal RNA
Rfam family: Bacterial small subunit ribosomal RNA
Source: RNAcentral
CUCACACCCAUCAACGCCCGGGUACUACGAGCCCCAGCUUAAAACCCAAAGGACUUGACGGUGUCCCAUCCACCUAGAGGAGCCUGUUCUAUAAUCGAUAAUCCCCGCUAAACCCAACCUCCUCUUGCAAUCAGCCUGUAUACCUCCGUCGUAAGCUUACCAUAUGAAUGACCUCAGUAAGCUAAAUGAUCUUAAACCCCAAUACGUCAGGUCAAGGUGCAGCUCAUGAGAAGGCAAGCAAUGGGCUACAAUUUCUAACCUAGAACAAACGAAACACUGCAUGAAACUCAGCUGUGAAGGCGGAUUUAGUAGUAAAAAGAAAAUAGUGUGUUCUUUUUAACUAGGCCCUGGGACGUGUACACACCGCCCGUC